AAGCCAUUACGCAAAAAGUUCCUUGUCAGCAACCAUUGCACAUCUUUUAUUUUUAUAAAGUACAAUAGUUCUUUUUUGCAUACAGAAACAUGUCAACAUUCUAGAAACGGAUGUGUUCGUCUUCAUCUAAAGUCCAACUGGCAUAAAAAAUCAAGUUGCAGUUGCAUUCUGUUGAUACAUUGCUCAUCAAAUUUUUAGAAUUAUAAGUCAAAUUCCAAUAGAAAGUAUGAGUACCGCAUCUUAAAAAUGCACAUCUAAUAGCUUGUAAACUUGGUCCAAUUGAUGCCUGCUAAUUUCGCAUAUCUUUUCCAAGCAAUACAAUAUUUCUUCUCGCAUACCUGCAGUGUAUAUAUUGUUCACAAGAGAAUGAGAGAAGACCAUGAUCAUCCCGGGCUCUACAUGUAAGAGGAGCAACGGGCCUAAUUGAACUACAGCUUGUUGACCGAACAUGAGGCGGGCCGUGUGCGAUGUUGGCGCGUGCGCUCUGCCAUGUGGGGCGGUGAGGAGGCAACGACGACAGUGUGCGUGUCAAAUGGCGGUCAUGGAGCCCCAAAUUGAAGGAUGAGAGGGUGGUAUCCAGUCUUGCUCCGUUGGUUGGCAGUCAUGGAUCCCCAAUUUAGAGGAUGAACGGAUGUUGUAUUCUGCCAAACUCAUCGAGGAAGAUAAAUGCAUGCCCAAUAGGGGUAAACUAUCUAUAUUGGACUGAAUUAUAAGUGCUUCGGUUGCACCAAACUCAAGAACUGUCUAGUUGUUAAAAUUUGUGAUGUGAGCAAAACCAUGGACAGAUAUAAAUUGAAAACAAAUACAAUUUGUUUUAUACAAGUACGCUUUGAAAUGCAUAUAGAAAUAUGAAUGAUAUAUACAUGAAAAAUUACCACUGACUCAAUAGGUCUACUGUGAUACGAUGUAGCACUUUGGCAGCCAAAUUAAAUUGCAAAAUGCAAAUACAAUACAUAAAUUAUUGGAUUUGCCAGCUAAAUAGCAAAUUCAUGUUAGAAUUUUGUGUGGAAAAAACACAUCUAUUCCGGUAGAGCAGAGUAGAGCUAGCAACAACUGAAAGUCUGAAUACUAAAACUAUCUGGCCUCUACACCAUGGCUGGCUCUACCCUACAUGAACAUGAGUUGCAUCCUCGUUUGAUUUACUCCAUGAUCCCAAUCCAAAUUCUUCACUCGAUCCCUAUAUAUAAAAAACAUAUUGUAAUGCAUAUGUUGGGACCUAAGAGCUAGGAUCGAAGAACAAGCGAAGCAAGCAAAACAAAUAAGGUGGCAAAGAGCUGAAGCAUGACAACAGAGCAUAUACCAAGAUCCAAAACGUGAGCAAUGACCUCUCCGAGUAAAAUAGCAUGUGUGGCAUGGGAGAGGGUAGGUAUUGGAGGUACCAUGCUGGGUACGGUCAUGGCGUCGAGCCACAGGGUGCAGUGACAUGAGUACU
RNAcentral lists this long non-coding RNA (1432 nucleotides) under Hordeum vulgare. RNAcentral describes it as "long non-coding RNA (HVUL_LNC007797)". The record is from RNAcentral. Lineage: Eukaryota; Viridiplantae; Streptophyta; Magnoliopsida; Poales; Poaceae.